Molecule: non-coding RNA, 71 nt
Organism: Podarcis lilfordi (Lilford's wall lizard)
Lineage: Eukaryota; Metazoa; Chordata; Lepidosauria; Squamata; Lacertidae
Source: the annotation of a GenBank genome assembly
GCCACGUGGCUCGGUGGCAAAGCGUCAGCUUUUCAUGCAGAAGGCUCCAGGUUCAAGUCCUGCCGGAGGCG